GUUGUAUGGUUAAGUGACUAAGCGUACACGGUGGAUGCCUGGGCAGUCAGAGGCGAUGAAGGACGUACUAACUUGCGAUAAGCGCAGAUAAGGCAGUAAGAGCCGUUUGAGUCUGCGAUUUCCGAAUGGGGAAACCCAACUGCAUAAGCAGUUACUGUUAACUGAAUACAUAGGUUAACAGAGCAAACCGGGGGAACUGAAACAUCUAAGUACCCCGAGGAGAAGAAAUCAACCGAGAUUCCGGUAGUAGCGGCGAGCGAACCUGGAUUAGCCCUUAAGCACUCGGUGAAGUAGGUGAACAAGCUGGAAAGCUUGGCGAUACAGGGUGAUAGCCCCGUAACCGACGCUUCAUCGAGCGUGAAAUCGAGUAGGGCGGGACACGUGAUAUCCUGUCUGAAUAUGGGGGGACCAUCCUCCAAGGCUAAAUACUCCUGACUGACCGAUAGUGAACCAGUACCGUGAGGGAAAGGCGAAAAGAACCCCUGUGAGGGGAGUGAAAUAGAACCUGAAACCGUGUACGUACAAGCAGUAGGAGCACCUUCGUGGUGUGACUGCGUACCUUUUGUAUAAUGGGUCAGCGACUUAUAUUCAGUGGCAAGGUUAACCGUAUAGGGGAGCCGUAGCGAAAGCGAGUCUUAACUGGGCGCUCAGUCUCUGGAUAUAGACCCGAAACCGGGUGAUCUAGCCAUGGGCAGGUUGAAGGUUGAGUAACAUCAACUGGAGGACCGAACCGACUAAUGUUGAAAAAUUAGCGGAUGACUUGUGGCUAGGGGUGAAAGGCCAAUCAAACUCGGAGAUAGCUGGUUCUCCCCGAAAGCUAUUUAGGUAGCGCCUCGGACGAAUACU
This 846-nucleotide ribosomal RNA is filed under the name Vibrio cholerae. RNAcentral's name for it is "bacterial LSU rRNA". It matches the Rfam family "Bacterial large subunit ribosomal RNA", at positions 1 to 894 of the family's 2925-position model. The record is from RNAcentral. Lineage: Bacteria; Pseudomonadati; Pseudomonadota; Gammaproteobacteria; Vibrionales; Vibrionaceae.